AGAGUUUGAUCAUGGCUCAGAACGAACGCUGGCGGCGCGCCUAACACAUGCAAGUCGGACGCACUCAGCAAUGGGUGAGUGGCGGACGGGUGAGUAACACGUGGGAACCUGCCCUGGGGUCUGGGAUAACUGCGGGAAACUGCAGGUAACACCGGAUGUGCCCUUAGGGGGAAAGUUUACGCCCUGGGAUGGGCCCGCGUCGGAUUAGGUAGUUGGUGGGGUAAUGGCCUACCAAGCCUUCGAUCCGUAACCGGUCUGAGAGGAUGAUCGGUCACACUGGGACUGAGACACGGCCCAGACUCCUACGGGAGGCAGCAGUGGGGAAUCUUGGACAAUGGGGGCAACCCUGAUCCAGCGACGCCGCGUGGGUGAUGAAGGCCUUCGGGUCGUAAAGCCCUUUUGCCGGGGAAGAUGAUGACGGUACCCGGAGAAGAAGCACCGGCUAACUCUGUGCCAGCAGCCGCGGUAAGACAGAGGGUGCUAGCGUUGUUCGGAAUUACUGGGCGUAAAGGGCGCGUAGGCGGCUCGUUUAGUCGGGUGUGAAAUCCCGGCUCAACCUUGGAACUGCAUUCGAUACUGGCGGGCUAGAGACGGAAGAGGUGGGUGGAAUACCCAGUGUAGAGGUGAAAUUCGUAGAUAUUGGGUGGAACACCGGCGAAGGCGGCUCACUGGUCCGCUGACGCUGAGGCGCGAAAGCGUGGGGAGCAAACAGGAUUAGAUACCCUAGUAGUCC
RNAcentral lists this ribosomal RNA (733 nucleotides) under uncultured bacterium. Its description in RNAcentral is "bacterial SSU rRNA". It matches the Rfam family "Bacterial small subunit ribosomal RNA", at positions 8 to 796 of the family's 1533-position model. The record is from RNAcentral.